GAUGAAGAACGCAGCGAAAUGCGAUAAGUAAUGUGAAUUGCAGAAUUCAGUGAAUCAUCGAAUCUUUGAACGCACAUUGCGCCCGCCAGUAUUCUGGCGGGCAUGCCUGUUCGUGCGUCAUUUCAACCAUCAAGCCCCAGGCUUGUGUUGGGGACCUGCGGCUGCCGCAGGCCCUGAAAACCAGUGGCGGGCUCGCUGUCACACCGGGCGUAGUAGAUUUUAUCUCGCUCAGGGCGUGCUGCGGGUUCCGGCCGUUAAAAAGCCUUUUUUACCCAAGGUUGACCUCGGAUCAGGUAGGAAGACCCGCUGAACUUAAGCAUAUCAAUAAGCGGAGGA
This 336-nucleotide unclassified non-coding RNA is filed under the name soil metagenome. RNAcentral describes it as "partial contains 5.8S ribosomal RNA, internal transcribed spacer 2, and large subunit ribosomal RNA". The stretch from base 1 to 120 matches the Rfam family "5.8S ribosomal RNA", at positions 35 to 154 of the family's 154-position model. The record is from RNAcentral.